AUGGAGGGUGCACUUGCUGAUAUGAAGUUUUAUUUUAUACAAAUCCUGGAGAAGCUAAAUGAGGCCAUGUCAGUGUUGCCAGAAGACAUGAGAAUCAUGCCAGAUCUCUGUGGCUUAACAUUGGAACAUAGUGUUCUGGAGGCUGGGAAGUUCAAGAUCAAGGUACCAGCAAAUUUCAUUACCUGGUGCCCCAUAAUGGCACACAGCUUUACUCAGCAAGCCCUGCCAGCUUCCAAGCCCCAGGAUACUGACCUGUACCAGCACAUGGGGCAGCAUUACCUCCCCAACAGUGUGGAGAAGAGAACAUUUCACCACUGGGUGAUGAGAGUAGACAGUGACUCUUGGCUUCUCAAUGCUUGGAGAGCAUGAUUGGAGACCUUUCAUUGUUCUAUUAGAAAAGUCCAUGAAGAAGCUGUGA
Molecule: non-coding RNA, 418 nt
Filed under: Pan troglodytes (chimpanzee)
Lineage: Eukaryota; Metazoa; Chordata; Mammalia; Primates; Hominidae
Source: RNAcentral